UGAGGAAUAUUGGUCAAUGGACGAGAGUCUGAACCAGCCAAGUAGCGUGAAGGAUGAAGGUUCUAUGGAUUGUAAACUUCUUUUAUACGGGAAUAAACGAAUCCACGCGUGGAUUUUUGCAUGUACCGUAUGAAUAAGGAUCGGCUAACUCCGUGCCAGCAGCCGCGGUAAUACGGAGGAUCCGAGCGUUAUCCGGAUUUAUUGGGUUUAAAGGGAGCGUAGAUGGGUUGUUAAGUCAGUUGUGAAAGUUUGCGGCUCAACCGUAAAAUUGCAAUUGAUACUGGCAGUCUUGAGUACAGUUGAGGUAGGCGGAAUUCGUGGUGUAGCGGUGAAAUGCUUAGAUAUCACGAAGAACUCCGAUUGCGAAGGCAGCUUACUAACCUGUAACUGACAUUGAUGCUCGAAAGUGUGGGUAUCAAACAGGAUUAGAUACCCUGGUAGUCCACACGGUAAACGAUGAAUACUCGCUGUUUGCGAUAUACAGUAAGCGGCCAAGCGAAAGCGUUAAGUAUUCCACCUGGGGAGUACGCCGGCAACGGUGAAACUCAAAGGAAUUGACGGGGGCCCGCACAAGCGGAGGAACAUGUGGUUUAAUUCGAUGAUACGCGAGGAACCUUACCCGGGCUUGAAUUGCAACUGAAUGAUGUGGAGACAUGUCAGCCGCAAGGCAGUUGUGAAGGUGCUGCAUGGUUGUCGUCAGCUCGUGCCGUGAGGUGUCGGCUUAAGUGCCAUAACGAGCGCAACCCUUAUCGAUAGUUACCAUCAGGUUAUGCUGGGGACUCUGUCGAGACUGCCGUCGUAAGAUGUGAGGAAGGUGGGGAUGACGUCAAAUCAGCACGGCCCUUACGUCCGGGGCUACACACGUGUUACAAUGGGGGGUACAGAAGGCAGCUACACGGCGACGUGAUGCUAAUCCCGAAAGCCUCUCUCAGUUCGGAUUGGAGUCUGCAACCCGACUCCAUGAAGCUGGAUUCGCUAGUAAUCGCGCAUCAGCCACGGCGCGGUGAAUACGUUCCC
RNAcentral lists this ribosomal RNA (1017 nucleotides) under uncultured organism. RNAcentral describes it as "bacterial SSU rRNA". It matches the Rfam family "Bacterial small subunit ribosomal RNA", at positions 355 to 1375 of the family's 1533-position model. The record is from RNAcentral.